RNAcentral lists this ribosomal RNA (162 nucleotides) under uncultured Chrysozyma. RNAcentral describes it as "partial 26S ribosomal RNA". The record is from RNAcentral. Lineage: Eukaryota; Fungi; Basidiomycota; Microbotryomycetes; Chrysozymaceae.
CGAGUGAGCGGGCACAGCUCAAUUUGAAAUCUGGCGCCUUCGGCGUCCGAGUUGUAAUCUGGAGAAGUGGUUUCCGCGCCGGACCCUGGCCUGUUCCCUGGAAACGGCGUCAUAAAGGGGGAAAACCCCGUACUGAUGAGGAUGCGCGGUGCUUUGUGAUAU